AGUCGAGCAGGAGACAGAGAUCACAGGGGCCCUGGGGCAGGUCUCCACUGGCCUCCUCUGCUCAGGAAGGGACGCGGGGAAGAACCAGGGGCCGAGGCCGGGGCCGGGGCCGAGGAGGAAGAAGGCCCACCAGGCAAGGGGAUGAUAGAGAGGAGAACAGACAAGGAAUGGAGAUGGGCACCUGCCCCAUCUGUGCAGGUUGCUUCCGCAUGGAUCUCCUUCCUGCUCAUGCCUCUGCCUGUGGGGAAGAUGACGUCUUUCCAGGCCCAGACUGGUCUUGGGAGAAUCCCCCAUGCCAGGAGCCCCCAGAGGCCUGGGUGCUGUGCCCCAUCUGUGAGCUGCAGUUCAGUAGCAUGGAGGUGGAGGAGCAUGCCAGCACCUGUGGAGAGGAGGCAGGAGCUCUGGACUCUCAGCCGUGGUCCUGGGUUGAAUAGGACCGGGCAGGACAGUUGCAACUUAGGUAGAUCUUCCUGCCUUGCAUUGAUCUGUGCGAGUGAGCACCACACUCGCCAUCCGGCCACUGGGGCUCAAGAGACUUGCCACAGCCAUUGUGGGCUGUGUGCCUAUCUGAGGCGCAUCUCCGUUGGUCACAACAGGAAUGGGUUUGGCCCUAGCGUGUUCUCUGCUUAUCCAGGUUGGGAAGCAGAUCCUCCUGUCUUCAGGCAGGCAUGUUCAGGCUUCCCUGGACUGUGCAGCUCCUGGUUUUGAAGGCAAUGGCUGCUUGCGUUUGUCUUGGGGCAUGAGCUGGAAUCUGGACUUCUCCCAGGCAAGAGGUUUCUGUUCUAAAUCCCUAGGCUCCAUCCUGCAGGGGCAGUCAAUGGGUGUCGGGGCUGGCACAGCCUGGAAGGAAUGAUAGUAUAUCAACCAGGUGCCUAUCCCUCACUGGUGUUGGUCCCUGUGGCUCUGAUGCAGACGGCUGGAGGGUUAGACUUGGUCAUGUGUGCUGAAGUCAAGUGAGGUGAACACCAUUGGCCCUGACUGAGACCAGUGGCCUCCUUUUCGCUUAUGAGGCAAGUUGUUGAGUUUCAUCUGAACACCUUGGAUCGCCCAGCUCGGUCCUUGGAUAAAAGGAGGGACAUGCCCUCGCUGUUAGUAAAGAAGCCUUUCAGUUCCUUGCUCAGAUCCACCUCCCUUGGGCAGUGAAGCCUGUAAGGGGCUUUGGCUUUUGUGUGCAAGCAGCCACGUCUCUUCUCCAAGCCCCCUUGGAAACAACACACGUGACGGGGUGUGAAUCUAGCAGCUGCCCUGCCAUUUGUGUUGCAUCUCUGUCCAGCAAAUGCAAUAAACUGUUUUUCUUGCUGGG
Molecule: long non-coding RNA, 1303 nt
Organism: Gavialis gangeticus (Gharial)
Lineage: Eukaryota; Metazoa; Chordata; Crocodylia; Gavialidae
Exons: 3
Source: RefSeq, a predicted model, not a curated record